CCUACGGGUGGCAGCAGUGAGGAAUAUUGGUCAAUGGACGAGAGUCUGAACCAGCCAAGUAGCGUGAAGGAUGACUGCCCUAUGGGUUGUAAACUUCUUUUAUAUGGGAAUAAAAUGUUCCACGUGUGGGAUUUUGUAUGUACCAUAUGAAUAAGGAUCGGCUAACUCCGUGCCAGCAGCCGCGGUAAUACGGAGGAUCCGAGCGUUAUCCGGAUUUAUUGGGUUUAAAGGGAGCGUAGGUGGAUUGUUAAGUCAGUUGUGAAAGUUUGCGGCUCAACCGUAAAAUUGCAGUUGAAACUGGCAGUCUUGAGUACCGUAGAGGUGGGCGGAAUUCGUGGGGUAGCGGUGAAAUGCUUAGAUAUCACGAAGAACUCCGAUUGCGAAGGCAGUUCACUGGACUGCAACUGACACUGAGGCUCGAAAGUGUGGGUAUCAAACAGGAUUAGAUACCCCAGUAGUC
This 460-nucleotide ribosomal RNA is filed under the name uncultured bacterium. RNAcentral describes it as "partial 16S ribosomal RNA". It matches the Rfam family "Bacterial small subunit ribosomal RNA", at positions 338 to 795 of the family's 1533-position model. The record is from RNAcentral.